AACGUAGGUGGCGAGCGUUAUCCGGAUUUACUGGGCGUAAAGGGCGCGUAGGCGGCCACCGCAAGUCAAUUGUGAAAUCUCCGGGCUUAACUCGGAAAGGUCAACUGAUACUGCGGGGCUAGAGUGCAGAAGGGGCAACUGGAAUUCUCGGUGUAGCGGUGAAAUGCGUAGAUAUCGAGAGGAACACCUGCGGCGAAGGCGGGUUGCUGGGCUGACACUGACGCUGAGGCGCGAAAGCUAGGGGAGCGAACGGG
This 254-nucleotide ribosomal RNA is filed under the name uncultured bacterium. Its description in RNAcentral is "partial 16S ribosomal RNA". It matches the Rfam family "Bacterial small subunit ribosomal RNA", at positions 524 to 776 of the family's 1533-position model. The record is from RNAcentral.